Molecule: ribosomal RNA, 415 nt
Filed under: uncultured bacterium
Lineage: Bacteria
Description: bacterial SSU rRNA
Rfam family: Bacterial small subunit ribosomal RNA
Source: RNAcentral
AGCGAACGCUGGCGGCAGGCUUAACACAUGCAAGUCGAACGGGCGUAGCAAUACGUCAGUGGCAGACGGGUGAGUAACGCGUGGGAACGUACCUUUUGGUUCGGAACAACCCAGGGAAACUUGGGCUAAUACCGGAUAAGCCCUUACGGGGAAAGAUUUAUCGCCACGGGAUGGGCCCGCGUCGGAUUAGGUAGUUGGUGGGGUAAUGGCCCACCAAGCCUGCGAUCCGUAGCUGGUCUGAGAGGACGANCAGCCACACUGGGACUGAGACACGGCCCAGACUCCUACGGGAGGCAGCAGUGGGGAAUCUUGGACAAUGGGGGAAACCCUGAUCCAGCGAUGCCGCGUGAGCGAAGAAGGCCUUAGGGUUGUAAAGCUCUUUCGCCCGCGACGAUAAUGACGGUAGCGGGAGAAG